ACUGCUUUCUUUCGGGAUGAUUAGAUAUGGCAUUUGUAACAUAAUUCAUUGCCUGUGCAGGUCACUGGCAAUUGCAGAAGUCAAGGCUACAGCAUGGGCAAGACAGUAACAACUAUACCAUAGAUUGGAGGAUAUACUGGUGAAAAUUACAAAAGUCUUUGCACCUGACCACCCUGGCUGGCAUCUGUGGCAGUCUGAAGUUUUGUGUUGUAGAAAAGGCCCCACAUGCUGCAGUAGAGACGGGGGUUUUUUUGGACCUAAACAUUCUUUAAGAAGCAUUUGGAACCUUUGGCCAUUUGGAAUUUCAGCUGGAUGAAGAAACGAAAUGGGAUGACUCACUCAACAGAAAGCUGAAGCUGAGUGUGGCGUUAUCUAUGACUGUGCAACUGUGAAUCUCAAAAGGUUGCACAGUCUGGUACCUUGCUGUAAAGGUAGGAAGGUCUAAAUAGUUCUUAUAACGUCAAAGCACUCAGGUAAGUGAGUGAGACAUUGUUUUCUACACUUCCACAAUAUAUGAAUCACAAAAGAUGUGUGUUAGCUGAUAGAGAAUAUGAAAACUGAUUUAUUAUAUAUCAUAAAUACUUCCUUGUUUCUCACAGCAGAGGGUCAUUUUUUCAGAACUGCAAGAUGUUAAACUCUUGUUAAAUAGGAAAUACUGUAUUAUUGGUGUUUCUCAUCACUCUGCUAGGAAAGCAGGUGAGCCAGUGACAAGGCCCUGAUAGGGUACACAGGAUGCAGACGUUCGACAGUAUGUCCCUCAACAUCUUAAGUUACAAACUCCAGAAGAAGUGGCGGGUUGCCGUUCAUUUUGGAUUGUCUGUAUGGCAAAGGAAAAGAUGGGAGGUGGAGCUGCCUCAACUGCUGUUGGGUCUGAGCACCCUAAAAAAUAGCCCAUUCAUUCCAUCUGCCCUUCCAAAACCCUCCGCGUAAGCUGUACCGUUUUGCUCUUCCAGGCAAUGGGAUCUGCUGCAUGAGGCUGUGACCUUGCAGAGAGAGGCUGCGUGAAAUAACACUGAAGGGAAUGUGACCUUGCACGUGAUGGAGAAGACAGGCCUUGGAGGCUGUAAUGGCUCGCCUUUCUGACUAAAGGGCAGACAACUGGUUGCAGGUUAAGUUCAACUAGUGAGGAGUACACCACUGCGCUUCUGCCUCCUUAUUGGCAUCAUCUGAACAGCACGGCCAGCUGUGUGUCUGCGCUACCCAUGCUCGAAGUGGUUACAUGGCUUCUAGCCCGGGGCUGCCUUGCAUCUGGCUGGCGGGGAGCAGGGGCGCAGCGCCCCGCUGAUGUGAGUACAUGGCUUCUGCAGAAGAGAUGGCUUGUGUCCAGCCGGCGUGGAGCACGGGCAGGGAGAACGUGCAAACUCUCUGCACCCGCCGAGGCAGGCAAGUCCUGAGAUGUCACGCUCUGGCAACUAGCAACGCACAGCAGGUCCACAAGAUGACUUGUCUGGACUACCGGGCUGUGAUCCAUAUAUCUUCUCUAUCUUACGGGUGCAAUACUUCACAUAACUUUGGUCUGGAAGUUUGGGGACUUAUCCUCCCCAUUCCCAAAGGAAAUGACUGAUAUCCCAAUAGUGAUAUCUCUGUAGCUCAUGGCAACAGAUCCAAGAAGGAUCGUCCAUGCAGAGGGCUGGAGCAGGACUCUCCCCACACUUUUCAGUGCAACCUAUCCCAUCUGCUAAUCUGAAAAUCAUCCUCCGCAGCCGUGCUCCCAGCUGCCUGUUCUUGCAACAACCUUUCCAGGAAGAGCAGGAAAACCAGAACCAACCCCUCAAAGGAACAAACCAUAGCUCUUUCUCAGUUAGCUGUGUCAUUGUUAUUUACAAGAGGUAAAACGGUUUCCAAGAAUACAAGUGCAUGCAAUUUCUCUCCUUGUACACAGCUCUCAGGACAAUUGUUUGUUACAUGAGUGCAUUUUUGAAAUACUGGAUGAUAGAAUAAAAAUCUGGAUCUUGUCAGAGUCAGUGGCAGAAAUCAUCCAGACUUCAGUGGGCCACUGGUUGGAAAAGGUAUUAUUUCUUUGUCAUAAACUAAAUAAAUCCAUUUGAUACAG
Dromaius novaehollandiae (emu) is the source of this 2053-nucleotide long non-coding RNA. RefSeq lists it as uncharacterized. The record is from RefSeq and is a predicted model, not a curated record. Lineage: Eukaryota; Metazoa; Chordata; Aves; Casuariiformes; Dromaiidae. The transcript has 3 exons.